This 131-nucleotide ribosomal RNA is filed under the name Roseodiscus sp. RNAcentral describes it as "partial large subunit ribosomal RNA". It matches the Rfam family "Eukaryotic large subunit ribosomal RNA", at positions 99 to 228 of the family's 3401-position model. The record is from RNAcentral. Lineage: Eukaryota; Fungi; Ascomycota; Leotiomycetes; Helotiales.
CGGCAACAGCUCAAAUUUGAAAUCUGGCUCUUUCAGGGUCCGAGUUGUAAUUUGUAGAAGAUGCUUCGAACGUGGUCUGGUCUAAGUUCCUUGGAACAGGACGUCCUAGAGGGUGAGAAUCCCGUAUGUGA